CUGAGUCGCCGUCGCCCGUGACGUUCGGUGUAGUUGGGGAAACGCACCGUGGUUCCCCCUCGGGUCGGGAGAUCCCGAGCCCCAGGCGGGCGUGGGCGAAGCGUACAACCCCUUCACCUUUCGCCGCCCGGAGGCACAGGAAUCCAGUUCGCGCCAACUGACCCGUUCCUUCCUCCCGGGCACUCCGGAAGUCCUGAGAUUGCCCUGCUCCGUUCGUAGGUCUGAGCAGCUGCUGCUCCUUCACCAAAGGUGCUCAGAUUCUCCAGGAAACUCCCUUACGGGUUAGCAACCUACAAGAAUGGUAACUGCUUCCCACUGCUGCUUUUCUCUGGGUGCCUGAACAUUCCUGUUUACCCCUCAGCCCAGCCUACCUGUCUGCUACAAGUGGAAAAAGCUGAAUGAAAAAUGGAAGAGUGACUACUGAAAUAUUUACAGAUGGAAGGAUAUGAUGUCUAGAAUUCAUUUCAAACAGUGAGUAUGUGAGGGGGGCAAGUAGCUGGUGAUGUAGAUGGGAUAGGACUGGUAACAGGUU
Saimiri boliviensis boliviensis (Bolivian squirrel monkey) is the source of this 532-nucleotide long non-coding RNA. RefSeq lists it as uncharacterized. The record is from RefSeq and is a predicted model, not a curated record. Lineage: Eukaryota; Metazoa; Chordata; Mammalia; Primates; Cebidae.